Non-coding RNA from Ciona intestinalis (vase tunicate), 1385 nucleotides. The record is from RefSeq and is a predicted model, not a curated record. Lineage: Eukaryota; Metazoa; Chordata; Ascidiacea; Phlebobranchia; Cionidae.
GUUUACCAAACUCAGUGGCAAAGAAGGCUCUUGCUUCGUUAUGGUCAACACCUCUGUUUCCUUGAUGCCACAUACAAGACAUCUAAAUAUGCUCUGCAACUUUUUUUUCUUUGUGUGAAAACCAACGUUAAUUACCAAGUCGUUGGCUGUUUUGUCACACAAAGUGAACAGCAAUCAGACAUCAUGGAAGCCCUGGAAAUGUUUAAAGCUUGGACACCUGACUGGAAACCAGCUUUCUUUAUGACAGAUUUUUGCGAUGCAGAAAUUAAUGCAAUUGAAGCAACUUUGAAAGAGAUGGGUUUUGCUUCACCAGGUGGGAAAAAUGCAAUUGGUAAUCGGUACAAAUAAUGGCGUUGAGCGUCAAAACCGUUUACUCAAAGAAUGUCACCUACGUUUCCAAACCGACAAAUCUUUAUCUGGUCUACUUAAAGUACUACACAAUGAUUUCUUACCUGAAGCUUUCAUUAAGUACAUAAAUGAAAACACCACAGCAUCUGGAUUGUAUAAAACUUUCCAUAAAUCAAUACCUGUAUAUCUUCGCAACCGUCCACCUAACAUUGUUAGGCAUUGUAAAAAAGAUUGGAUAGUGCAUUAUCGUUUACUCAUGACAAGAUCAACCGAGUAGACUCUUCUUCAUUUGUUGUCAACAGUAGUUCUGGCAAAGAAAAAUAUGAAGUAUUUUUAGGUGACACUAUACGCUUUCCAAAAUGCACCUGCCCGGACUUUAAAAAGCACUUCCUGCCGUGUAAACAUAUGUUUGCUGUCUUUAAUAACUAUGCAGGCGUACCAUGGGCUUCAUUGCCAAACUGGUUUAGAGAUUCGGUGUAUGUAACAUUAGACAAUGAAAUAAUUUCAACAAAAGAAGCUAAAAGUAAUGAAACACUGAUGCAUCAGUUGAUGUUGAACAUGCACACGCACUCACGGAUGUUGAAGAAUCAAAUAAAAAAUCAGAUAAGCCCAUGAAACAAACAAUAAAUCAAAUAAUUGAAAUGAUGAACAUAUUAAAAGACACAUUAUAUGAUGUCCCUUCACAACAAGCACUUCAAAUUGCAAAAGAUAAGCUGUAUUUGAUUCAGCAAGAUUUGAACACAGUUUGCAAACAUGAAGAAGGGAUUAGAGUUCAAAAGCCGGAUGUUUCGUUGAAGUUGAAAAAAAGAAAAUUGCCAAAAUCUUUUGUGUGUGAUAAGCUGCCACAAAAAUAUCCAAAGACAAACCGGUUUAUUUGUAGGCUUGCUUCUGAUGUAAACCUCCAGACACCAGUUUUAAAGACCGCAGUAAAUGUCAAAAAGCCCAUUCAAAUACUCCCUUGUAAUGCUGUAACUGGUAAACGUAUCACUGACACUGCCUUCCACACUCUGUCACAAUACUCCAACUACUAUCUCUGG